Molecule: transfer RNA, 73 nt
Filed under: bacterium
Lineage: Bacteria
Also listed under: 4 other names
Description: tRNA-Trp
Rfam family: tRNA
About the family: Transfer RNA (tRNA) molecules are approximately 80 nucleotides in length. Their secondary structure includes four short double-helical elements and three loops (D, anti-codon, and T loops). Further hydrogen bonds mediate the characteristic L-shaped molecular structure. tRNAs have two regions of fundamental functional importance: the anti-codon, which is responsible for specific mRNA codon recognition, and the 3' end, to which the tRNAs corresponding amino acid is attached (by aminoacyl-tRNA synthetases). tRNAs cope with the degeneracy of the genetic code in two manners: having more than one tRNA (with a specific anti-codon) for a particular amino acid; and 'wobble' base-pairing, i.e. permitting non-standard base-pairing at the 3rd anti-codon position.
Source: RNAcentral
ACGGGUGUAGCUCAACUGGCAGAGCACCGGUCUCCAAAACCGGGGGUUGAAGGUUCGACUCCCUCCGCCCGUG